This 253-nucleotide ribosomal RNA is filed under the name uncultured prokaryote. Its description in RNAcentral is "partial 16S ribosomal RNA". It matches the Rfam family "Bacterial small subunit ribosomal RNA", at positions 525 to 777 of the family's 1533-position model. The record is from RNAcentral.
ACGGAGGGGGCUAGCGUUGUUCGGAAUUACUGGGCGUAAAGCGCACGUAGGCGGCUUGGUAUGUCGGGUGUGAAAUCCCCGGGCUCAACCUGGGAACUGCAUCCGAAACUGCCUUGCUCGAGUAUGGGAGAGGGAAGUGGAAUUUCCGGUGUAGCGGUGAAAUGCGUAGAUAUCGGAAGGAACAUCAGUGGCGAAGGCGAGUUCCUGGACCAAUACUGACGCUCAGGUGCGAAAGCGUGGGGAGCAAACAGGA